GACGAACGCUGGCGGCGUGCUUAACACAUGCAAGUCGAACGGAAAGGCCCUGCUUUUGUGGGGUGCUCGAGUGGCGAACGGGUGAGUAACACGUGAGUAACCUGCCCUUGACUUUGGGAUAACUUCAGGAAACUGGGGCUAAUACCGGAUAGGAGCUCCUGCUGCAUGGUGGGGGUUGGAAAGUUUCGGCGGUUGGGGGUGGACUCGCGGCUUAUCAGCUUGUUGGUGGGGUAGUGGCUUACCAAGGCUUUGACGGGUAGCCGGCCUGAGAGGGUGACCGGCCACAUUGGGACUGAGAUACGGACCAGACUCCUACGGGAGGCAGCAGUGGGGAAUAUUGCACAAUGGGCGGAAGCCUGAUGCAGCAACGCCGCGUGCGGGAUGACGGCCUUCGGGUUGUAAACCGAUUUCGCCUGUGACGAAGCGUGAGUGACGGUAAUGGGUAAAGAAGCACCGGCUAACUACGUG
This 468-nucleotide ribosomal RNA is filed under the name uncultured bacterium. RNAcentral describes it as "partial 16S ribosomal RNA". It matches the Rfam family "Bacterial small subunit ribosomal RNA", at positions 28 to 507 of the family's 1533-position model. The record is from RNAcentral.